AAGAAAUAUUUACAGUAAUUUUCCUAAUUGGAGGCAUGAUUUCAUCACUGUGUGAUGCUGCUUUGAGUAACAUAUACGUUCCUAGCAAUAGAUUGUGGGCUGAGAAUAACAACCUUCUCUCUUCGACUGUGCUGUGAAAAGGGCGGGAAUGGUUUACAUCAGGAAGAUUCAUAAAGACUGGGACAAAGAAGAAUUGAUCCUGUGGACAUUUAGGUGCUUGUCCUUUGUUGCAAGUAAAGUUUAGCUGUACAGCUUUGUCAUCUUGGGCAUCAGUUUUACAUCAAGCAGCAGGAAGAAGAAAGCAUAAAAAUCAAAAUGACCUGAAAAAUGCCUUUCAAGCUGAUUUACGGAAUACGAUAUAUUACUGAAAAAGAUCUGCUUCCUUUGAUGUUAUCCAACCCACCAUACUGUGCAUAGUUUAUGGAUACGAGAGACUGAUACUGUCACUGAAGUUGAGAUAACACAGUUUGCAAAGGAGCUAAGAAAAAUGCCCUUGAAAAUCAGGUAAGGUCAAAGACCUACAUGCUUCAGGCCUUGAUUUCUGCAGGAGGGCUCCAGCUAGAUGCUUAGUUUUCCUGCAACAUAACAAAUCCCUGUUAUUUGCAAGGA
Molecule: long non-coding RNA, 609 nt
Organism: Grus americana (Whooping crane)
Lineage: Eukaryota; Metazoa; Chordata; Aves; Gruiformes; Gruidae
Exons: 3
Source: RefSeq, a predicted model, not a curated record